UUAAACAUUCAUCAUAUUAAUUUGAAACAUUUUAUCAAAAAUAAAUACUCAAGAACUAAAAGAUGAACUACUCAUACAACAGGAAACUCAAAUUACAACUAAAUGGCCUUUCAAUUAAAUUACAACCAUAAUAAGAACAAAAUUACAGAAUUAUAACUGAUUGAAUUUACUGCACUUGAUGAACUACUAUAACAACUACAACCCACAAUUUCAUUAACGUGAAAGCUAUGUUCCCAUUCCGGCCUAGCCUGGGCUUGUUAACUUAAUCAAUCUGAAUCCACAGCACUUCAUUCACUUCAUUACUAUCUGAUUUGGGCUCAAAAUUUGUCCAGUAAUGGAUUUGAUCAACUGGUGAUCAAAUCCAAUGUCUUAAAUCAACUGGUGAUCAAAUACUGUUUCAAACAUACUAUUACUACUUAAAUGAAUCUGGACCGUGUCUUAAAUAGCAGUAUCAAUACACCCUACACUAUUAACUCAAACAAUGGUAGUUAAGACAUAAAACACUUCAACAGAAAACAUAGAUGAGCACAUCAGUGUAGAUUUUAGAAAACUGUAACGACCUAAAACUUAACUACAUAACAUGGCUGGCAGAAUUAGAUUUGUACAUGUUAAACACAUAAGAACACACAAUGAACUCUACUCAAAACAAAUAGUAAACAACUACAAUUACAUUAAGUAUUUCAUUACUUCAAAACAAAACUACAUUUAUUGGAGGUCAAAGCAAUACAAUUAGUAGCAGCAAAGCAAAAGAAACAGAAAAUAAAUCUCUGAAUUUGGGAGACCGCUAAACAAAGAUUCCACCACAGCUUGAUGAUAACAGCAGCAAAUAGCAGGGAUUGAAGCUCGACUCAAACCCAGAAAACCAGACAAUCUCAGUAAUAUAGGAAAAGAAAGCAGGAGAUUAAGAUGGAUCCUAAAUCUUCAUUUUUUUGGUAUUAAAAUGGAAUCCCAUACUGUCUUUUGGAGAAGAAAUCAGUAUGAGAGCAGAAAAAAUGAAAAAAUCAAGAGUGAAUUCUCUAUCUUUUUGUGAGUGAAUAUGCAGAUGAUUAACGUCUGUGUGAAGGGUGUAUAUAUGUUGAAUGCUGAAUGAAAGAGGGUUCUGUCAGGAAAGGAAUAUUCAACGUGAAAAGGGGAAAGAUCAGAGAGGGAAGGGAAUCAUUUUGUAACUCAAAUUGCCAGCUGUUACUUCUAGAAGCAGACUAUCUGCUUAGGUCGGGGCCAAGUGCCAUGGCCAAAUGGCCCAAGACAGGCCCAAAUCCGAAUUCAUGGAAGAAACCCAAAAACAGAAAAAUCAAAAAUAACAAAGCCAUAUCUUGAACUCUAAAUCUAAUCAACAAUUUCACUAAAUGCUAACUCUUAAUUAACUAAAUCAAUUUAUUAACUAUUCUAAAUGACCAUGCAAUCAAAAAUUAGAACUUAAUUAAUCAAUCAAAAAAGAAAAGAAAAAAGAAAAAGAAAAACACAAUCAACAAACGGAUAGGAAAGAUGAGUGGAUAUACCCAUUUAACCUUAAGAAACAACGAUCGAAGCAACAAUGGCGGACGAAGGCAGUGGCGAAAUAUGACCGGACUCCGGUGGCCAAGUGAUGAGUCAAAAACUGCCAUCAAUAGAUUGUUCUUAUCAAGAGCAAUCGACUGAUGUCGAUUUCGAACCCAAAUGACCUAAAACAAAAAUCAAACAGGGACGGCUAGGGUUUGAUUUCCAGAUCCGAAAUUUAAUGAUUUAGACGGGGAUUUUGGAGAAAGUGGUGGUGUAUCGUGGAAAGAUGCGAGAUGAGGAGUGUAGGGUGUUAAUUUGAGGGUGAUUGGAGACGGGCCACCGGAGAAGGGUGUUGGGGCGGCUAGGAUUUUAGAGAGAGAGGUGAGAGGGAAUGAGGAAGAUGAU
Molecule: long non-coding RNA, 1884 nt
Filed under: Nicotiana tabacum (common tobacco)
Lineage: Eukaryota; Viridiplantae; Streptophyta; Magnoliopsida; Solanales; Solanaceae
Description: long non-coding RNA (NTAB_LNC003723)
Source: RNAcentral